This 118-nucleotide unclassified non-coding RNA is filed under the name Chryseobacterium arachidis. RNAcentral's name for it is "Flavo-1 RNA". The record is from RNAcentral. Lineage: Bacteria; Pseudomonadati; Bacteroidota; Flavobacteriia; Flavobacteriales; Weeksellaceae.
UCUUAGCCCCGAUUGCAGCAUUUGUUUGAGCUCAUUUUUUUGUUUUCGGGUUCGGCGCGGCUUUGCCGCGCCGAACCCGAAAACAAAAAAAUAGCGAGUGCAGAAAGCGGGAUUAAAC